AUACGUAGGUGACAAGCGUUAUCCGGAUUUACUGGGCGUAAAGGGCGUGUAGGCGGUCUUGCAAGUCAGAAGUGAAAUUCCUGAGCUCAACUCGGGCGCUGCUUCUGAAACUGCAGGACUUGAGUGCUGGAGGGGAUAGCGGAAUUCCUAGUGGAGCGGUAAAAUGCGCAGAUAUUAGGAAGAACACCGGUGGCGAAGGCGGCUAUCUGGACAGUAACUGACGCUGAGGCUCGAAAGCGUGGGGAGCAAACAGGAUUAGAUCCCCUGGUAGUCCACGCCGUAAACGAUGAAUACUAGGUGUAGGGGGUAUCGACUCCCUCUGUGCCGCAGUUAACACAAUAAGUAUUCCGCCUGGGGAGUACGGCUGCAAGGUUGAAACUCAAAUGAAUUGGCGGGU
Molecule: ribosomal RNA, 397 nt
Filed under: uncultured bacterium
Lineage: Bacteria
Description: partial 16S ribosomal RNA
Rfam family: Bacterial small subunit ribosomal RNA
Source: RNAcentral